UGGGGAAUAUUGCACAAUGGGGGAAACCCUGAUGCAGCAACGCCGCGUGAGUGAUGACGGCCUUCGGGUUGUAAAGCUCUGUCUUCAGGGACGAUAAUGACGGUACCUGAGGAGGAAGCCACGGCUAACUACGUGCCAGCAGCCGCGGUAAUACGUAGGUGGCAAGCGUUGUCCGGAUUUACUGGGCGUAAAGGGAGCGUAGGCGGACUUUUAAGUGAGAUGUGAAAUACCCGAGCUCAACCUGGGUGCUGCAUUUCAAACUGGAAGUCUAGAGUGCAGGAGAGGACAGUGGAAUUCCUAGUGUAGCGGUGAAAUGCGUAGAGAUUAGGAAGAACACCAGUGGCGAAGGCGACUCUCUGGACUGUAACUGACGCUGAGGCUCGAAAGCGUGGGGAGCAAACA
This 402-nucleotide ribosomal RNA is filed under the name uncultured bacterium. Its description in RNAcentral is "bacterial SSU rRNA". It matches the Rfam family "Bacterial small subunit ribosomal RNA", at positions 355 to 774 of the family's 1533-position model. The record is from RNAcentral.